RNAcentral lists this ribosomal RNA (434 nucleotides) under uncultured bacterium. Its description in RNAcentral is "partial 16S ribosomal RNA". It matches the Rfam family "Bacterial small subunit ribosomal RNA", at positions 29 to 507 of the family's 1533-position model. The record is from RNAcentral.
AGCGAACGCUGGCGGCAGGCCUAACACAAGCAAGUCGAACGAACCUUUCGGGGUUAGUGGCGGACGGGUGAGUAACACGUGGGAACGUGCCUUUAGGUUCGGAAUAACUCAGGGAAACUUGUGCUAAUACCGAAUGUGCCCUUCGGGGGAAAGAUUUAUCGCCUUUAGAGCGGCCCGCGUCUGAUUAGCUAGUUGGUUGAGGUAAUGGCUCACCAAGGCGACGAUCAGUAGCUGGUCUGAGAGGAUGAUCAGCCACAUUGGGACUGAGACACGGCCCAAACUCCUACGGGAGGCAGCAGUGGGGAAUCUUGCGCAAUGGGCGAAAGCCUGACGCAGCCAUGCCGCGUGAAUGAUGAAGGUCUUAGGAUUGUAAAAUUCUUUCACCGGGGACGAUAAUGACGGUACCCGGAGAAGAAGCCCCGGCUAACUUCGUG